Long non-coding RNA from Peromyscus californicus insignis, 20935 nucleotides. RefSeq lists it as uncharacterized. Lineage: Eukaryota; Metazoa; Chordata; Mammalia; Rodentia; Cricetidae. The record is from RefSeq and is a predicted model, not a curated record. The transcript is spliced from 6 exons.
GCGCUUUCUUCCUCCUUUCUGGUCUUAGACUCUGAACUAAACCUGUUUGUGUCCAAUUUCUUUGAUACUGGGCCACAUUGAAACUGUUUCUCCUUUGUUUUUAAGUCCUGGGGGACCCUGAGAAGUGGCUGGGAAGUGACUGGCAGACACCCUUUGGCUUCCCGGGGCUCCGUGAUGCCCCCACACAAUGGCUGGAAUUAGAUAUCCUGUACAGCCUUCUUUUGACACAACGGAAGGCCUCCUCUCGGCAAGCCGCUUUUCACUCCCAGGCUCCGCGGGAGCCAGGUGCAUAGCUUCAUAAAGCGCCUAUUAUACAGCCAGGCUCAGUCGCCAUGGCUCACACAAUGACCCUUCUGAUCUGGCCACAACAGCGGGGAUAGGUGCCAAGGCUUCAGUCCCCACCCACUGCAGAUUUAGGUAUGCACUUCGUGUAUAUUUGCAGCGCCCCUUUCCUCCCCCAAAGAGGGGGAUUGAAUGCACCCCCAACACACAUACUCCGUUUCAAGACAAACAAGACUAACUGGGGCAAACCACCUGCGCGCGCAGCUCCGGGUCUUUCCGGCCUCCGCCCAGACAUUCCAGGUAACCCGAGGAGGGCUGGGUGGCCACGUGAUCUUGUUGGCAAGGGCGCACCUUGCUCCAGCCGGGACAGCUGAGUACCUGGAGACGAAGGGCUCCAUUCUGAAUCCACUGAGCAUCUCUGAUCACGUGGUGAUUGGUGACAGCAACAGAAAGAAUAGGGGCCUGCUGCCCAUCAGUCUCGGCUCGGCCACAGCCACCCCUGUAAGCCUCAGCUCCCUCAUCUUGAAGGAAACAAACUAAAAAUGUGGCGUUAAAAAUCAGAGCAACUCUUGCAUUUUAUUGUAUUAUUUUGUUUUGGUUUUGGUGCUUGGGGUUGUUGAGACUUUUGUGCAAGACGUAAGAUUGAACUCAAAAGGGGAGGCUGCAUGACAAACCCAUUGCUUGCCUGAGCCACAGGAAAGCUAGUGAGGCUUCCUGCCCGGCUGCAGUAACUGGCCAGUCGUUCUCAGUGAUGGGCCUGCUCCUGGGAAGUACAAAUGAAGGGGAGAAGAAACCUGGAAAUGGAGACUGGCUCCACAUACUGGGUUGCCACAGCUCUUGGAUCAAGGAGACAUUAUUGCAUUAGAAUUCUUGAUGUUUGAGGGCAGAGUUUUAAUUUACCUGAAGCUAUGAAUAACAAAGACUGCCGGUGGCACACACCUUUAAUCCCAGCACUCAGGAGGCAGAGGCAGGCAGAUCUCUGUGAGUUCGAGGCCAGCCUGGUCUACAGAGUGAGUUCCAGGACAGCAAGAGCUACACAGAGUAACCCCAUCUCAAAAAACCAAAAACAGUAAGAAAAAAAUCAACCAAACAAACAAAGAAGACUGAUGAUACAGGAAUCAUCUCCUCAAACAAGACUCUCAGGAAGAGCUACUCAGAGAGCAGUGUUUGAGCUCCAAGCAUGGUUGGGGACCCAGGCGACUCCCAGAUUUUGGCUUUUUUGUUCCAAAGCACCAAGUUCAUCUUCACAGUUACUCAGAGUCCGUGGUGGCUACCAGACUCCAUCCACUGCAAGCACUCCGCUCAGCGGAGGAGGAAGAAGGGACAGGAAGAAGGAUGUGCAGCCCAGCUGGGCCAGUCUUCCCAGCAGUCCCUCAGGAGUUACAUCAAUGGCCAGAACUCGGCAUGAUGCAGAAUCUGUCCUGUGCAGUGCAAUGGGUAGUUGGAAGAGUUCUCUUAAUAAGAACAUGGCUGGAUAUUGAGAGGUAGUGAGGGUCUCCGCAUCAGGGUGGUUGUUAAAAUUCUGCAACGGGUUCAUUUAUUUGGUGGCAAUGAGUGAGACCGUGGGGGCUAGAUGGAGGGAAUGAGGACUGCGUGGAGCAUGGGAAGAGCUUGACAAGGUUCUGCAGUUGAGGUGAGAAGUUGGGAGUAGUGCCAGAGGGAGAAGAUGAUGUCAUUAGCUAACAUUACGCACACGCCUUUAGUCUCAGCACUUGGGGGGAAGCAGAGGCAGGUGGAUCUCUGAGAUGGAAGCCAGCCUGAUCUACAUACAGUGUGAGUUCCUGAACAGCCAAGGCUACACAGAGAAACCCUGUCUCAAAAGCAAACGAACAACCCCCCAAAAGGAAAGAAGGUCAUGGAUUAGGAGUUGGCCAUGCUCACUGUGUUGGGUGGGUCACACUGGGGCUGGUGCUCAGGGAUGUUGGUGUGACCAUUUCCCAGUGAACACUGAACCCACUGUUUAAAAAUGUCCUAAUGUCUGUAGAUGUCUUAAUGUGUCACAUGUAUUUUGGGGUUUCAUAAGUUGCUACUUAGGGUGCUCUUAAUUGUGCCAGAAGAAGGAUUAGGGUGCCUCUUUCAUCUGCAAUGCCCCUGGGCUUAAGGGACCUGAGAGUCAUGGCAAAGUGAUGUUCUUGUGCCCCCCUUCUCCCCUUCCUUUCCCUCCCCAAUCCAAUCCCUGCCUGACUCUCAAUCUAUGUGGUGGUAGGAAGCAUGAGCCCAGUGUCCCAGCUACAAAAUCAGAAUAACACAGAUUUUAAGAUGCUUGCCUGCAUAUUGUAUAUUUUAAUAAAGUUUGAGUAUUUAACAGUUUAAGCCAAAACAAUCCACUGGCACCUCCCUCUACUAAAUCUGCCUUUGUCUUAAAACCCCGGGGGUUUGCCAAUGUUCUCACUUGCCCAGGAGUCAGAUUCUAAUCCAAAUGUGGUGCUAAAUUAAGUGUUAAGUACUAAGUGAGGCUUUGAAGGAGUUGAAUGGACACUAGGCAGGGCUCCAGUCCUAACUGGAAACGUCCACAUCCACAGCAGGUCCAGGGGUACCCCCCCUGUUCCUUUCCCACCCGAGUCUUCCUGCCUUACCCCUGAGUCUUCUGUUCCUAGGCUGCCUCUUGCUGCCUUCCAAGUCCUCAAACUUCACCCUCCCCAUUCUGCUUCUUCCUCUCCCCCUUUAAUCCCAUGUUUUGUGGGUCCCAGCAUCAGAACCACCCACAGUCUGAGCAGGCCUACAGAAUCAGAUUCUGUAGAGGAUGGUGGACAGAUUCAGGGGUCCCUGGCUUUGGAAGCCCUCCCCAGGGGUUCUCCAGCACUUAGUAACCCUGCUCUGUCUCAGAAGUCCACAAGCUUGCCAUGUGGCUCUGUCUUGUCCUGGCAGGUUCUUGAGAUGGUCACAUUCCUGCAGGCUUUUUCUUCAGGCCACUCCUCAGAGACUCCUUGACUCUGACCCCCUCUCUAGCAUCCUACGUGACUGUAUUCCUGUAAGGCUCCAGGUGCUAAGAAGGACCCCUCAUACUAGCUAUCUGUUGUAACCCUCCCUCCCUCCCCCAGAGUUAGGUAUUUUUCUACCUGCUUAUGUGAUGAAUCAGGACACAGCCUAAGAGGAAUAGAUGCAUUGAGCUUUAGUAUGUUGGAGAACAUCACAAUAGAUGCAUAGAGAAUGCAUGGGUGAGAGAAUGGUUUGCUCAGGCACAGUACUUCUGCAGACUCGGUGGGAAACCUGGUCUUGCUGUUUGUCUUACACUACUUACUAGGACCCCUUGGUGGGAAGAGGGAAGAAAUAAAGGGUGAGGUCUGGGUUUGGCUAUCGAAGCAGACAAGCUGUGGGAACCUUUGAAGAGAGUGAUGGGGCCAGCCAGGGGGGUCCUAAAAUGAGACAGACUAGCAGUACUGAGAACAAUUGUGUGGGGCCAGGGAGAAACCUCCCCGAGCAGGGUGCUUGCUGUGCAGACAUGGGAGCCUGAGUCUGAGCCCCAGGACUCCACAGCCCAUGUAAAGAAAGGUUGGUAUAGUGGGGCACUUGUAAUCACAGUGCUGAGGAGCCAGAGGCAGAAGGAUCCACGCGGCUCGCCAGCCUAGUUGAAUUUGUGAACCCUAGCCCAACGAGAGACCAUGUGUCAACAAAGACUGUGUGAAGGGCUCCUGAAGAAUGACACUCAAAGCUGACCUGUGGUCUUCACACUCAUGCACACACAGGCACAGGCAUCCCCCACCUCAUUAACACAGACACAUACAAGUUGUGUGCUCUUCACUGAUGGUUAAUUAUUAUAGAACUGGGUGAGUUGCGGGUCAGAGAGUAGGAGAAAAGGAAGCUGUGGAUUGAGGGAUGGCGUGAACAGUUUUAGUAAACAUCGUGUCCCCAGGGGAAACAUGGAGCUUAAAAAGACACUCUGGAUAUUCUUCUUUAUAAGGUUAUCAGAAGUGAUCCCUUCCCUGGCCACAAUUUGUAUAUGAAGCAAUGCAAACAUAUGGCAUGAAGGUGUUGGGAGACAGCAGUUAAAAUCACGGUAGGUAAACUGAGUGAGGCCACUACUACCAAGGUCUUGCGGGAUUUCCAGUCAGUCUUGGUCUGACAGAAAAGAUUUUGAAAGGCCAGCUCUACCCGCUCCCCCUACCACCAGCAUGUUCUCCCCUCAGGCACAGGUUAAUGACUUGGGGUCCCUGGGGAAGUUGCUUUCUCCCAGGAGCCUGCCCUGCAGCAGCUGGAAGAAUCCUGGUCACUCCAGCUGUCAACUCUUAGUCCUCUCUGUCUGGCUUUGGCCUCUUGGGUUUGUAAUGUCUUGGUUGAUUUGCUUGUCCAAUUUGUGUGUUCUUGGUGAAACAUGUAAUGGUGGAAUCUGAUUGCUUCUUCUGAAGACGCAGGAACAGGUUUGGGUACUGUGUUGCCGAGGCUGCCCAUUCUGUGCUGGUCAUUGUGACUGAUUUACAGUCAUUGUUGUUGAUUUAUUUUAACAGCAUGUGGGGAAUUCUGGUGGGCAGAAAAACUUUGUAUCCCUGUCAGUGGCAGAGUUCACAAGCUCAUCUUCCUGGUUCCUGGGAGUUCUAGGAGUUUGCUUAGCAACUGGCCCGGUCCAUGCCUGUCUUUGCUACUGGUGCCCCCCAACACUGGACACUUAAAAUGGAAUUGUGUUCAGGACCAAAUAAGUAUUUUGUAUAAAUGGUGGGAUGGACCUGAGUCUGCCACCCAGUCCAACAAAAUGAGGGAGAAGAAAGCCAAAAAAAAAAAAAAAAAAAAAAAAGAAAUAGCAGAGGCAGUCGGAAGUGAUGCUGGUUAGGGCUUGUUUUCCUGGCUCCUGUGGCCUCAUUCCAGCCUGUUGCUAUCAGCUCUGGCCUGUCUGUGGGACACCCUUGUGCAGGGACCUCAGAGGAAGGGAACUUCUACAUUUCUGUUUGACCAGGCUCCUUGCCAAAGUCUGAGUUCAAAGUGCAGUUUCCAGUAAUUUGUGGGGACUUCUCUGUGGGUUCUCUGGACCAGAACAGAAGCCUGUAAGUCCAAGUACUAUUUCCUAAUUGCUGUCCUUCCUUGUGAAGAGAAGGAAGGUAGUUAAGGAGCUGGUAGCUAGGGUUUUUUCCUUGUCCGUGACUGGGCCUCUCCAUCCCUGGUCAUCCCCAGCCCUUCCUCUUCCAUCCCAUGUAGCCAUGGGGAGUCUGGUCCAGAAUGAAGCUGGAUUUUACAUCACUGCCUUACAGUUCCCCCUUCUUAGAGCUUCAAGGGAAGCCUCUGCUGUCCUUUCUCCUCUGCAACCCUCCUCUCCACACCCUGCACCUUCCUGUCUCUUAGAACAUCACGGUAAUUGGGAGUGGACCUUUGUUAAAUGAAGGUGUGGGUAAUGGUGCUGUCUUAUCUCAGAGAAGUGUUUGGUAGAACAGUGGCCUUUCUAUCAGGUAGAGACACACAGGGACAGUGUUUAAAAGAAUUGUGUUUUCUCUGGCUCUGGAUGAGUCAGUCUUGACAUGGGAAGGACCUGGCUCAAAGAUGUCUUCUGCAAUUGAGCAAGGAGAGUCGUAGGCCGUUGAGAUCUUGAGCCCCGCCACACAGGACAGUGGCCUUUUCAGACAGUUACCCUACCUCACAUCUCCUAAGCCCACAGAAGCGAACCCUGGGAGCACAAGGGAACGUGGAGAUAGUUCCACCCACACUCAAUUCUACAACACACUUCUUUUCACUUGCUAAUCCACACCCUAGACACCCCCAUGGUGGGUUUCCUCCAACCUGGAAACCCAGUUCUAGCAAUUUUCCACUGUAAUCUCCUUCUGUAACAUCUUAAUGUUCUUCUGUAACACUGUAAAGUCCUUCUGCAGCCGCUGGACUAUGGGUAGUGAGAGGAACCCCUAUAGAUGAAUUUGUCUACAUCUGUCUAAGAAAUACAAAGCCAUGUUGGUGAAAAAUAUCAUUUAAAUAUUUUUAUUGGAAAGUCAGUGCGCUCUGAAACUAUCUAAAUAUGUAUCUCCACAAUACCAAAAUAGCUCAUUAAAGCUUUAAAAAUACUUCUCGGUUGUAUGACUUUUAUUAUACAAUAAAUGGCUUGUGUAACUUCACUCUUCUUUACUAAGUUGAUUUUUAAAAACAACUUAGAUGAGCAAGUUGGUUAUUUAUUCUUAAAAUGUGGUAUGAAGGCAUGGAGAGUCUUAAAUAUCUCUGUAGUCUUUAGUCAUAUCUAAAAAAAAACAAACCAAAAAACACCUUUUCACAAAAAAACAAACCAAAACAAAAAAACCAAACCCAAACCCAGUUAGUUGCCUGGCUAAGUCUGUGGCAAACCUUGGCGAUGACAGAGAGGCUUUUAAAACUUCCCCUUGACACUGAACCAAGCAGAUGGCUCGAUGAAGCGCUUGCAGCAUAGGCUUGGGGACCCAAGUCUGGAUUCCCAGCCCCCACAUAAGAAGGGGGGCAGCACACUUACAUAAUUCUGGCUCUGAGGAAGCGGGAGCAGGUAAAUUCGUAUUGCAGGCCAGUCAGCCUAGCUGAUCCAGGUUCAGUGAGUGACUCCGUCAUGAAGAGUAAGAGGACAAGGGGCUGAGGAAGAUACUGUGCUGAUUUCUGGUCUCUAUACAUGCAUUCCCAUGUACCUAGACGAACAUAUGUACACACACACACACACACACACACACACACACACACACACAGCCCUUAAAUGUCAGUCCAAAUGUCAGUCCACAUCACAAUAGAAUGAAACUAAGCAAUUUAGACUCUUGGACAAAGAUUGUCAUCACAAGUCGGAUCUCUUCAAGCAGGGUGUGGCUCCCCAGACACAGCUGGUCAGUUAUUACACACCGCUGUGCAAGAGAACCCAGGCAUCUCAAGAAGGUCCUGAUGUCAAAACGGAACCUGCACGUGUCACUUCUGCGGAUUCCUGUUGCUGCCCACAGUUGGUUAACUGCCCCUCCCCCAUGGAACCUCAGGGGACUGUGUCAUUCUUCACACAUGCUAGUCCAUGGAGCUGUAAAAGUCCAGUCAAGAGAUCAACAUUUGGUUCUUUUGUGAACUCUCCCCAACCUCCUCCAACAGUCACCCAAAUGCAUGAUGGGAAUGGCAUGUGAAGGCUCAGGAAAACUGAAGUUCUGAGGGAGAAGUAUUUUUAUAUUUAUACAAUUUUUUUAAAAGAUUUACAUAUUUAUUAUGUAUAGUGUUCUGUUUGCAUGUAUCCCUGCAGGCCAGAAGAGGGCACCAGAUCUCAUUACAGGUGGUUGUGAGCCAUCAUGUGGUUGCUGGGAAUUGAACUCAGGACCUCUGGAAGAGCAGUCAGUGCUCUUGACUGCUGAGCCAUCUCUCCAGCCCCUAUUUACACAAUCUUUAAUAUUGUAUUUUAAACUUCACUAAUGUAUUAAAAGGACUGCAGAGUCAGUGGGCUUUUAAAAUAAAUGUCCUUUCAAACAUUUCAAGCACAUUGUGGAGGAUGUUUCAUGCUACAGUGAGGUUGGAGAGUCUGGAUGUUAGAGGAACUUCGGGGGUCGUAUGUUCAGCUUUUCUUGUCCUUAUGUUUGGGUAUCUUGGAAAAUAUCUCGAAAACAACCGUGCUGUAGCAGCUGACACUUCCUCCCGGUUUAGGAUAAGGAUCACCAGUCACAGACCUACAGGACUUAGAUGGACACAAACAAUCCACUUUCUGUCUUUGACAAAAUGCAGGAAGCAGCCACAUCGAUCCGGUAAGCCUUGAUUAGAACAACUCGGAAGGGGGACGUGAUGGCAGAGGUGUGUUUAGUGUGUUUGAGGUCCUGGGUUCCAUCCCCAGUGUGCUUGUGUGCACUGUGCACACCCACACCCUCACCAAAUGAAGGCAUUUGGAGUGAUUAUUCACACUGUGGAAGUAUCCCUCCCUGCCUGCGUGGCUGUGUAACCCCGUUCAGGCCACACUUUCACUGUGGGGUGUGAACCCCCUUGGGUUCUUCAGCUGAGGUGGUUCUGCAAAAUCGGUACUGACUCUACACCUCUCUACCUGCUGAGCCAUCUGACUGGUCCCUCCUUUGGUUUUUUGAAAUCUUUAAUACCUGGAUUAUUAACUGUGGGUGGAAAUAGCAAGUUCUUACAGUGUCUGUGUUAGCAUUCCAAGCAUAGCCCCUUUCUUCCAAGAUUGCCAUAUCAAUUAUUAUUAAAAGAACAUUCAACUUUUAAAACUCAAGUGACUUUUCCAAGCCAGGUCUUUAAUCUCAGACGUAAAUCUCGCUCCAGUAAGAAAGAGAACCAGGCAGUGUGUUGGAAGAAUCUAAACUCAAGAGAAACAAAAGAUUCAAAAGAUUAGGCAUGGAAUUAUUUCCGCAGCUUUUGCUAACGAAGCAUGUUAAAUUAAAAACCUGCCUUCCUGCACCCAUCCAGAGUGCAGAUGUGUAAAGUGAGAGGAUGGAUCCAGAUGUGGGUGCUGUCCUUCUCUAACAAUUCUGCAGGCAUGCUGCAGGUAAGGGUGUCUGCAUGCUGGCCUCCUUCUCCGCCUGGCUUCAGGGUCUCAGAACUGCCAAGAGCCAGUGAAAUGAGCUUUCCUUUUUGUCUUUGGUUGUACUGUUGAAAGAACAGAAGAUUCGGUUUAUUCUGGAGCAUAUAUAAAUGACUAAGGUCCGUGAACAAACAUUUUCGUCUCCCCCAAAUACAGCAUUCCAAAAUGGAAGCAGUUUCAUGAGGUUUUAUAGUUUUACAGAAUGGAUUAAGUCCUAAACCAGGUUAAGUUUAAAAUACAUUGGUGGGUGUGUCAGAGAGGCGGUUACAGCAAGAUGAGAGCUUAGCUAUAGGCCCAAGACGCUGUCUGAUGAUGUAUCUUCUUAGUUGCUGGAUUGGUGGGAUCCAGGGGUCUGCUUGGUUAACAGAUCCCCAAACAUUUUUAUCUACUAGUCACAGGAUGUUAGCUCUGAUACAGAGGUAGGGAGGAAUUCAGAUAAGGAAUUAGCCUCCGGGCCUGCAUCAGGUAAGGAAUUAGCCUCCGGGCCUGCAUCAGGUAAGGAAUUAGCCUCCGGACCUGCCUCAGAUAAGGAAUUAGCCUCCGGACCUGCCUCAGAUAAGGAAUUAGCCUCCAGACCUGCCUCAUUCCUGUCUCUCCAUCCUACUGCGGCUCUGGUAAGUCACUCAGUCUCUGCAGACACAGCUUCUUUCCAGGAUUCUUGUUCACAGGUGGCUUGGAGUGAUUCUGUGAUGUAUUAUAAACACACAACAUGCCUUGAGAUCUCCAAAUACUGAGCGUCAUCAAGAAUUUGUGAUAGCCAUACAGGGUUAACACAGAGAAGGAUUCGGUGGACACGUCACACCCUAGAGGCUACAGAUGGGUAUGAGCAUCCCAAGGCUGGGGAGUGUUUCCAAAUUCUACGCCAGGAAUGAUGCAGACCCUUUCUGUGACGGAGACCGACAUUAUCUUUCUGGUUGGAGAAGCAUCUGUUUCUAAUACCUUUACUUUGGAGAAAAAGAAGGAUGAAGUAAUUUGUAAUGGGGCUGGGGAGAUGACUCAGAAGGUAAGAGCACUUGCUGUUCCUGCAGAGGACCAGAGGUCAUCCCAGCAUCUGUAUCCAUGCCCAGUGACUUACAACCACCUGUAACUCUGGCUCCAGAGGAUCUGAUGCCCUCUUCUGGCCAGUGGGGGCACUGCACACACACACACACACACACACACACACACACACACACACACACACACACACACACACGAGUACAUUCUAAGCAGCUCACUCAGGGUGAGUUCCUGCUCACUUGCCAUUUUUCUCCCCUGCCUUAGCUGUACUUGAUGGAUUAUUUAUUAAUUUGGAAAUCAAUGAGUUUGAAAAAACUAACAUAGCCCGUUUAUCACUUUCGACAAAGUAAAACCCCACCCUUCUGCAUUCUGCUUAUGCUUCUGUCAAUAGUGUGAAAACUGUAAAGAACACCCUCCUUGCUGGCACUGGGUUAGGGAAGACUGGAGGUGUGUUUGGACGAGUCUUGCUAGCAUUUCCAUUGAAGGGCAGGUCAUUGCCUUCCAACGCUCAACAGUGUUCCUGGGAGUGAGAUAGAGAUGGUCAGGAGUUUGCCCAAAAUGGAACAUAAAUGACCUCCUUGUGGCUGCAGGGUGGCUGGACUUAACUAACGUCUCACGUAGGGCACAGCCUUAUACCCUUGCCUUUUCUUGUUUAUGAAGUACUUUGAAAACAGUUCUUUAAAAUGAAAAGCUCCUAACUAGUGUAUUUUCCAUUUUUUCCCAUAAAACACAGUUCUCAGUUUGACUUACCAGCUAAAUGCUCCAACUUUCAACUGAUUUCACAGAAACAGGAUUUAAAGCAUGUCCACCCAUUGCCUGUAGGAAGUUGAUUCAUGAGUAAUCUGAACUCAUAGCCUGGUGAGUGGGGUCUUGGGAGUGAGCUCGUGUUUCAUGUGGCAGGAAUAAUUGCUAUUAUGACCAAAGGCAUGGCUGGCACUGUUUUAAAUGUGGUUACAAAUUUAUUGAGGGGCUGGAUCUUUCCUCUUUUCUUGGUCUAGGGUUGUUUCUUACUGCUUUGAAAAGAUAAAUAAUACCAUGUGACUUCCAAGAUGAUGUCUUCCCUACAGACCUGGUAGUCUCUGCUCACUGUAGUACAUGUCUUAGAGUGCUGGGCAGAGGCCAUCUUCCCACACAGAUCUGAAACCAAUGUCCUGGUGGUGAUUCCUGCUGAGUUCAGCCUCCUGGCCAUUCCCACCAAGGUGCAUGACCUGGAAGCAAACUGUUCUGAACCCUUUAUACAAGUUCAGACACCAGUGGACUACUACAAAUCACCUGCAUGAUGCCCAUGGAAUAUGAGAGUCGCCCAGCUGAGCCCUGCCCGUGUGAUGGUAGGAACUGUGAGAUAUGAAACACUGCUGCUCUAAACCAGAAGGUUUGGAAGUAAAUUGGAAAGGGAUGAGCAGAGAGGAAUUUGGUACCAGAACAGAAGACUUGAAGUGUGGGGUAGUUAGGUAUUCACCCAGGCAAAGGAACAACUUGUGAUCUAAAGCAUCUGAAAAUGUGUGUGUGUGUGUGUGUGUGUGUGUGUACACCAUAUGCAUGUGUGGAAGUUACAUACCACAUAAAAGCCAACCUUCAAGUGAGUACACCAAUGAUUUGUCCUUCUGUCUGGCAUAUGACUCAGAACACCAUUGCUGCUCAGCUGAUGAUUGACAGCCAACAGCAUUGUUGAUUGGUUUUGCUUGUUUGUUUGUGGGCAUUUGUUAGGACAGCAGGAUCUCAGGCCCUGUGCUGGGUUCUGAAUUUUAGGACCUACACUUUCGGCAAGAUCCCAAGAGAUGCCAGCGUGUGUUACAGCAGGAGCAGCACCCGACUCAGCGUGGAUGCCUCCAUGCCUGUUACCAAUGGUGGGAACCAGAGACUUACUGUUCAUUGCUACUCCCCCCGGUGGCUACCAGUCUAACAGGAUGGUUCUGCACGGCUGCAUCACACCCUCGUGUAGAUGCAAGACAACUCGAGUCUUCUGCUGCUCCACGUCCAGGUGGAGAAGCCCAGCCUCCAUGGCCCAGAACAUCCCACAGCAAGGAAGGAAGGAAGGAAGGGAGGAAGGAAGGAAGGAAGGAAGGAAGAAGAAGAAGAAGAAGAAGAAGAAGAAGAAGAAGAAGAAGAAGAAGAAGAAGAAGAAGAAGAAGAAGAAGAAGAAGAAAGGUGAUGUGCUGAUGGGCCAGUUUCUGAUGAGCUUGAAAGUGUGGGUCAUACAAAACUCCAUUGAAUUUGUGCCUUCAUAUCCUGUGUCCUAUAACCCAUAACAGAAACAGAAAUUGAUCUUGAACCCUUGACUACAUAUUCAAUAAGUUAUUGGAAGUAAUGAGGAAGAUGUGUACUACCCGACCAUAUGAUUGUGAGUGCAUUAGUCAGCUUCUCGUCACUGUGACAACAUAUUAGAGACAAAGGGAUAGUUAAUUUUGGCUCACAGUGUUGGAAAUUUCAGACCAUGGUCAGUUGGUCCUGUUGCAUCUUGGGCUAGCAGAUCAUGGUGAAGCACAUGGCAGAGCAAAACGCCCACUUGCCUCAAGGUCAGCUCAUGAAGGAGGGAGAAGCAAGGGGCCCAGGAAAGGACCAAGGGACCAGUUGGCCCCCGCCCCCAGUAGCCAGAAGACUCUUUACUAGGUCUUGUGUGAUAGUUUCAAUGAGAAAUGUUCAAAUAGUCUCACAUUUCUGAACACUUGAUCCCUGCUGUUUGGGGAGGUUGGGGAGCCUUUAGGAGGUGGAGUCUUCCUAGAGGAAAUAACUCCCAGGGGGCAGGCUUUGAGGGUUUAUAACCUCAGGCUGCAUCUUGUUCCCUAUCUCUGUUUCCUGUGUGUGUGGAUGAAAAUAUGAUGAUCUACUCACCUUCCUGCUUUUAGGAGCUUUCCUAAGCUUCUCCAGUCUUUGGAUUUAUUCUUCUGAGCAUUUCCUGUUGCCAGAAUGAGCAGUGAAAAUGGUUUGGUUUGGUUUGGUUUGAAAGUAGCUUGCUAUCCUGGGCUGGCCUAGAACUUGUGAACUUCUAGUCUGUAUUGCUUAAAUGUUGAGAUUAUAAGCGUGUAUCAUGAGGCCUGGCUAAAACAUAUUUUUAAGUUGAUUUUUAUCAUUAGAUCUGAACUUUACCAUAAAAAUGGUUAUAACUGAUAUAAAAUGGAUGUUAUUGAUAUGGAAAUAUUAGGGUGUCUUUGAGAGUGGUGGAGCCUUUCUCGGCUCAUAGGUGGACUUGGUUCAGAAGUUAGGGUGCUAGAUGCUAAUGAGCAUACAAAGUCAGUGGCCUUUGGGUUCUUGUCUUGUGACUUUGGAAAUUCACGGACCACAGAGGUGAGUUUUAGAGAGGAACUUAUGGAUUCAUAGGUGGAAGUUUAAGAGGAAGAGAGAGAGGGAGCUAGAGAAUGAGAGAAAGAAGGAGAACAGAGCUUCUAUAUCACAGGAGGAGUCCAAGGAAGUAGGAUACCAUAGAGGUGAGAGUGGGGAUUUUAAUUUUUUAGUAUUAAGUUUUUGAAAUUAUAAUUAUAUACUAUGAUUAUAUAAUUUCUCCUCUUCCCUUUUCCCCUCAAAUCCCUUCCAUGCACUCCCCCCUUCUUGCUUCUCUCAAAUUCAUGGCCCCUUUUGCUUUAAUUGUUGAUAUAUAUAUAUAUAUAUAUAUAUAUAUAUAUAUAUAUAUAUAUAUAUAUAUCCCUACAUGUAUAAAUACAACCUGCACAGUUUCUACAAUGUUGUCUGUAUGUAUAUGACCUCCCUUGGAGGAACCAAUCAUGGGCUCUUCACAGGGACAGACUAUUUUUCCACUCACAGAAUUUCCAUUGCCCGUAGUUCUUUAUUUAGGGCUGAAGAGUCUUGAGCUUUUGCUCUUCCACGUCAGCCUGUCCGUUGCUGUCCAUGUUGUUUGUCUUGCUUAGGCAGCCAUAUUGAUGAGACUUCAUGGUGUAUCUUUUCUGACACUUCUAGGAGAUACAGUAAGCUUCCUGUUACUCUGGCUCUUACAGUCUUUCUGCUGCUUUUUCUACAAUGAACCUGAGCCUUAGGUGCAGGAGUUGUGUUGUGGAUGUGUCAUUUGGGACUGGACACCACACAAUCUCUUGUUCACUGCAUUUUGAUGAGUUGUGGUUUUCUGUAAUGGUCUAUGCACAAAGAGAAGUUUGUUUGAUGAGGGGUUAAAACCACACCUAGCUGUGGGCACAGGGAUAAAUAUUUGAAGUGCAGUUAUGGAUUAUGCUGGUUUAGGAAAGUGGUGGUUGUAGUUUCUGCUAGGUUUCUAGUACCAGGCAUGAUUUCCCUCUUGUUCAGCAGUUCUCAGGUCUAAUUAGAGAGCUGUUGGUUACAGCCAAGGUAUGCCUGCCACUACUGCACCCGUACAGUUAUUGUGUCAAGUUGGUUGGUUGUGAUUCAGAUCGUGUCAUAGCUGGGUGGGACUAUUGUUUGCUUUCCUCCCCUGGAAGCUUGUAUGAUGCCUUCUGGUACCUCGAGAGCUGGUCCUCAGGUCAGAUUAGUCUGAGGUCCUUUUAAAGGACUUCUAGUCGAAACUGGGGUGAGGCAUGGGGAAGGGGAUGAGCUGGUCAAUCCAGGUGGCCCAACUAGAGGCAUUCAGGUGCCUCCCUUCAGUUUUAGCAAGUACUCAUGAUCAGCCUCCAGUCAGGGGCACUCAUUAGGAACUCACAAAGAAGUAGGCAUUCUUGCCAUUCCUGCCUCUAGCAAGGACAUUCUCAGAACUGCUGCUUUGGGGGUCCUUGCCUUGCCUGGCCAGUUUCUAGUUCCUCUUCUCAUCACUCUACUUUUGAGUUGUUAAUAGAGAAAUAUUCAACAAACAGCAGUCAGUCUGUGUGGAGAGUCUCAUCCCAUCCCUUGCCCAUUCUUUUUCUGCCUUUGACUUCCACCUAGUAGUCAACACUGUUUUGUAAUGUUGUUAGUAUUUUAUGUUAUUUUCUUGUUGCUUUUACUGGAAGAAAUUCCCUUUGAGUAUGGCACCUAUAUCUGUGAAAUCCACAAAAUGCAACCCGACAAACAUAAUACAUUCCAAGCCACACAUGCUUAUGGAUAAGUUGAGAGCAAAUAUGCCUGAGAAAUAAUUGCAUUUUAAAAUUAGUUUUUAAUUCAAUGCUUAACGAUUCAUUUUAUGUGUGUGCAUGUGUGCAUGUGUAUGUGCACCUUUGGGGUGGGGAGGAGGGUGCAUGUGUGUAUGGAGGCCAGAGGUCAACCCUGGGUGCUCUUCCUCAGGAGCCACCCACCUGCCUUUUUUGAGACAAGGUCUCCUACUGAACCUAGUUGGACUAGGCUGACUGACCAGCAUGUUCCUCAUGUUUCCACCUCUCUGGUAAUGGGGUUAAAAACCCAUGCCGGCAUCUGUGGCUCUUUACCUGGGUUCUGAGGAUGGGAUUCAGGUCCUCAUACUAAUGUAGCAAACACUUUACCAAGGGAGCCAUCUUACUAGCCCCUGAGAAAGAAAUGUGGUACUUUAUGGCAUAUUUGGGUUCUUUCAUCCAAGCAGGCAUUCAUUCAAUGUCAGAACAUACCUUGGUAGACACAGUGAUAAAAUGUUCUCCUCUGCCUUCAUAGGAAUACACAGAGGAUGCUUGAUCCCAGCUGCAGGUCCUUUUCGGCAAGCUAGGUUUGCAGCCCUGAGCUAAGAAUCCCACACGUGUGUCCAUGCACAAAGAUCAACUGCCUCACCCUCAGUGUACUUUUUCCCUGGGCUGAGUUCAGUGUGAGUCAGGAGGAGGAGUGUACUGACAGCAGCUUACUGCUCAGCUUGGUCUUUGUAGAGACAUACAUCUUUUCCAAUGACUGAUAAUAUCAAAUUUGCUUUCUCAGUAAAGCAGAUGUGAGGAUUUAGAGCUGGUUCUUCAGUGUUGCCCCAAACUGGAAAUAAUCCAAAUAUAAAGGAGCAGAUACAAAGUGCAUGGAGCCCAACUGUGAAGAGUAAAUGCUGUUAUGGAAAGAGCAUGAAGGGGUCUCAAACAUACCGUGUUAAGUGAAAGAAGCUGUCCUCCAAAGGCUGUAUUGCAUCAAUCCAUGAAUGCAGAAAGAGCUGUGGGAACAGAAAACAGUUGUUGCCCAAUGUUGUGGUGAGGGGAGGGGAGGGGUUGACUCCAGGGGAGUGGGUUCAUCACUUUGGAGAUGGGACCAUUCUCUAUCUUGAAUGUGGGGUGAUGUCUUAUAAGAGCCAAAACUAACCUGUAAGCCCCACUUGCCCAAGGACAGAUAACUUCCUGGAAUGUUGGGGGCUGUGGUUCUUGGGAAAUACAAGUCACAUGCUUUUGCUCCCCUAAACAAGUUUGUUUGCACCAGAUAUGCUUGUUCAGAUGUAGGCAGGAGGUACGUAGGCAGGAAAUACAUCAGGAUGUAUGCUUGCCCCUGAUUGGGCCUGAUGGGAAAUACGGUGGCCGUGUGGGUCUGCCUUUUUAAGCCCUUGCAAAAUGUAACUCAUGGCCAUUUCCUGGGAACCCACAAGUGGACCUGGCCAGAGUCCAUCUUCCUGGCCAGAAUUUAAUUAACACUUGCUUCAAAAUUGGCUCAAAGAUUGUGGUAUAAAAAGCUAUGUGCCUGUAUGCGUUCGUCAGAACUCACAGAAGUGUACAUUACAAAAGGAGAAUGUGAUGUGGAAAUUAUACUUUAACAUGAAGAGAUUCUUCAGGUUCACUGUAGACUGGAGAUAACCACUGAGCACUAGGAAUGUGGUGGUCUGUAAGAAAGUCCCUUUAGCCAAAAGAGCAAAUGUGAAGGGAAUCAUCUAAACUUGUAAGUGGGCGAAAGCAGGGCAGACAGCAGGAAGAGUUUGCAGUGAGCUCUAACUAUUUGUAUGACUCCCAUUCUGGGGUGUCAGUGAGAGCCUCACCAUGGAGGAAACCUUUCCCCAGAGAGCUAGAUGUGUGAGGGAGAGGGAGCAGACACUCCUGACUCACAGCCACCAACUUGGCAAAGGAGGCACUCUCCCACAAGCAGGCGAUGGUGGCUUUCAAGGCAGGAACUGGUUAAGAUUUGUUUGUUUGAAGAAGAAUCAUGACAUUCUGGGAAUCAGGCAAGUUGGCCGUUUUCCUGGGCUCCCACCAGCCAUGCAGACCUCCUUGCAGGGGCUGGGCUCUCCACACCACGACCAGGAGGGCACACCCUGCUUUAGCCCCAGGCAGAGAGAUAAUAACAGCAUGCUAGCCUAGUAGUCUGUGUGCUGGAAGGGUUUAUGAGGAGGAAGUCCGCAAUUACAUAUUUCUGGGCAAACAUUAACCAAGAUUGAAACCUAGAUUUGAAGAGAAAUAGCAGGCUGGAAUCUUAAGCUGCCCUUGGUAGCUGUUCUGAGGAUUGUGAACAGUGGUUAGAGGCUCUUCUUGUUCUGAAAGCUAGACGGAAGGGAAGACAGAGGCGACAAGCUGGUGAGAAACUUUUAUCACACCUGUCCCCAGCAUGUGGCUGUAACACACAGCCUCUGUUGAUGAGCAACGAUGGGAAACUAUUGCUACUCCCAUAACCAAGGCGAAGCCACCACACAGGGCCCAUUGUUAUCCUCAUGCUGAUGACCGACUCCAUUCAUCCCUGUGGCUUCCCAGCUGCCACUGUGCACUGAGAGAGGCCUCUUCUUGGCAAUGGCACCGAGAGCAUCUCAAUCACUUCCUACCAUCAUCUGAACAAUUUUGGUUCAACUCUGUGGUUUUGUAAUUUCUAUUUUUAAAACUUCGUAGACAGAACAACUCUGCCCAGUUGGGCUAGGCAAACUUAAAAAGAAGCCAGGGAGCUAGAAUUAGCUCGGCACCAAGAUGGUACAGCUCGUGUUCUUUCUAUUUCAGACCAACCACUGUCAUUAUAUGGAAGGUAUCCUGUGUCUUGUCCUUACCACACACUUUAGGGAGCUGAAGGGCCAGGAGCAGCCAUCAAAUAAAGAACCCAAUGACUUUCCAGACAAAUGCCCCUAACUCCUCUUAGCUUAUGUUAGUUAGUUAGUGCAGGGGACGGUUCUCAGAGCAGACGUUGAUUUGCAGCCCUUACCAGCUGAUCAAGGGUGACAGGACCUUCUCUCAAAGUCAGGCUUGGUGGUUCAGAGUUUAAUUUCUGUCACCACAAAGAAAAUGCAGGCAAAGCUUUCUCUUAGUGCCUUCACCAAGAACUCAUAUGUGGAUGGAUCCAAUGAGGGAGAAAACCUGACUAACCACACAGGGUGAAGGAAGUUUUGAUGAGGACAGAAGGUCAGAGUUCUAAUUUGGUUUCGGUCUGUAGCUGGUUGUGUGGUCUGGGCCCAAUUUCACCACUGAAUCCAGAGGUUUGAACUCAGAUUCUAAAGCUCAAACUUCUGGCAUUUCUCAGCUCUUCUGAAGGAAGAGAGAGAAUCAUUCUCAUUCUCAUUGUACACCAAGUAGAAAGAAAGCCUCACCAGAACUUCAAGGAACCAGUAUUUUGACUUUUUUUCAAUUCCAGAAUAUUGUGAAUGAAACUGCUUUGGGGAUAAGAAGUCUUGUGAGACAAUGUAUAUUAUACACCUUCAAAGUACUUGACUUUGAACUUGUAGGCUAUAGAGUUCUAGAUGCUUUGCCCAAUGAGCUAAAAUUUCAGCUGCCCUCCCCAGGUCCCAGGGACAAAUGGAGGCAAGAUUCUGCCAGAGUUCACUUCAGGGAACCUGUGAGUUUAUUGGACUUUUUCAUAGAAGAUAGUUGAGGGAUUGCUUACAGGAAUGUGGGUGCUCCUCUCCCGAAAGGCUGCAUCUGGAAAGUCUUACUCAGCAGGAAUGAGAGCUUUCCUGUAGCCAUAUAGAUAGAGUCCCCAUUCCAGUCUUCCCUAGCCUAUGUACUCUAGACCUUCCCCCAGGCCAUGUGAAAUUAAGGCAGAGUUGCAUACACCAAGUAGAAGAGAGCACCUGGAUACCCAGGUGAGGUUCUUGUAACCCUUCCCAGUCCUCUAUGAGAGGGUGUAGUCCAUCUGGAACAAUUGUUUUGCAAGGGACACAGCUGAAUUCCGCAAGAUGGAGGCUUUGCCUGUUAACCCCUCAUUAGCUUGAUUGGGAUGGUAAGCAGGGCACAAUCACAAGCUUACUUGAUGUCAGGCUGCAUAGUAGCCUUUGGUGUGCCAUGGGGAAGUUCCAUGGGCUGUGUCAUCUAAAAUGGAACACAAGGCUCUUACAAUCCCUACUGCUGACUUCCAGGUGGGUCAUUAUACUCUUUUUUAUUAUCAUUUCCCCUGGAACAUUCAUUGUUGUGUUCACUAGAAAAGGAAGACCUUGGAGAGAGAGUGGGCAGAGUUACUUUGUCUGGAUGGCCUGUCUAUUGGUAAUAGUGGAGCCUGAGAGGUGGGUUACUGAGAGUGAACUGAGAAUUCCACAUGAGACUGGAAUUCUCUGAAUUUCUCCAGUGUCUGUUGUAAUGUCUCUCUUUUAGUCUCCAAUUUUAUCAGUUUGGAAUUUCCCUCUCUGCAUUUUGAUGAAUUAACUUUGGCUAGAAGCUUGUCAAUCUUGUUGAUUUUCUCAAAGAACCAAUUCUUUGUUUCAUUGAUGUGUGUGUGUGUGUGUGUGUGUGUGUGUGUGUGUGUGUGUGUUAUUUUGUUUCUAUUUCAUUGAGUUUGAUUAUUUCUUCACUUUGGGGGCAUUAUUCUUCUUGUUUUUCUAGAGCUUUUAGGUAUGUGCCUAAGUUACUAAAAUAAGAUAUCUCCAAUCUUUUGAGGUGCACACUUAGUGCUGUGAACUUGUCUCUUCAUGGUGUCCCAUGGUUUUAGAUAUGUUGUGUUUCAUUUUCAUUCAGUUCCAGAAAGGUUUGAAUUUCUGUCUUAACCCAAUUUUCAUGCAGUAGUGAGUUGUUCAGUUUCCUUUCUACUGUUUCUAUUGUUGAUAUCCAGGUUUAAUCCAUGGUGGCCAGAUAGGGGGCAUAGUGUCUUGGUUGUUUAUGUUUGUGUUUGGGGCUGAGGUCUGGGCAUCUGGAGUUACAUUGGAAGUAUUUCUUGGUGUAGAUAUCUGUUCUUGCCUUUAUUGGGCACGUGUUUCCUUCCUUGGUUGCUGUUGCCCACUCUGGGUCCCAGCCAAGUGUGGUGGCUGUGGGAUUCCUGAGUCCCAGACAAAUGUGGUGGUUGUGAGUCUCUAGUAGAGAUCUUAUCUGUGGGUGGCAGAGAGUCACAAAGGGAUGGAAAUUGGCUAUAAGGAAUGGCUAAAAGGGAGAGCAAGGAAGAACUAGGGGACUCUAGAUGCUGGGUUUACACCAAGAGGCUGAGUCCCAACUUCCUUUUCUUCUUUAAUUAUAGUUCUCUCUGUGUCUCUGUCUCUGUCUCUGUCUCUGUCUCUGUCUCUCUCUCUCUCUCUCUCUGUGUGUGUGUGUGUGUGUGUGUGUGUGUGUGUGUGUGUAGGCCAGAGGUCAAUCACUGGUGUCAUUCUCCAGGUGUCUUGUUUUUUGAAACAGGGUCUCUCACUGACUUGUAACUUGCCACGUAGGCCAGACUGUCUGACGAGCAAGCCCCAGGUUCCAGGAAUCAAACUCAGGUCCUCACCAAAUGAGCCAUCUCCCCAGCCCUAAUUAUAGUUUAAAAACAUUGGGCUCAAAGCCAGCAAUGUGUCUUGUGUUAUUUCUAGUUUUUUUUUUUUGGUUUGAUUUAUGGUCAACAUUUUAUAAACACACCAUGAAUUCCUGCCGAGCAGGCAUGACAAGCUCUACUGGUCUCUUCCAUUCAAGUUCAUCAACUCUACAAAACCCAAAUUUCACUCAUCAUUUGUUCACCAGAAUUUUAGCUAAUGCUUGUCCAGUUGAUUUUUACUUUUAAAAGUAUUUAUUUACUUAUUUAUUGUGCUUUGUGUGGAGGGAUAUGCAUAUGUGGGAGGAAGUAUAUGUGCCACAUUGUGUGUCUGGAGGUCAGAGGACAACGUGCAAAGACUUGAUUCUUUUCUUUUACCACAUGGGUCUUGGGGACUGAACUCAGGUCCUUAGUCUUGGUGGCAGGUGCCUUUACCUGCUGAGCUAUCUCUUUAGCCAGAUUGGUUUUUCCACACACUAAUGAUUACAGGUCUUCUGGCCUUCUAAUGUGUAUCUUCAUAUUGUCUGUGCACUGUGGAUUUUAAUGUAACUAUUUUAUGCAUCAAGGCAGGUAUAGUAUCACUAUGACUUUCUUUUUACUCCCUCUGUUUACCCCCUUCCCUUCCUGUACCCCCUCCAUUCUUUCUCUUCCUCCCCCAACUCCCUCCUUCCCUUUUUCCAGUGCUGGUGUUCUGCCCCCGAGCUACACUCCCAGCUUAAGAACUGUAACGAUUCUCACAAAGUUUCCUAUGUAUUUUGUUUAAUAAUUUUGCUUGUUCCACAAUAAACACUGUGACCAACA